UGUACACACCGCCCGUCACACCAUGGAAGUUUACUGCACCAGAAGCAGGUAGCCUGACCGCAAGGGGGGCGCCUACCACGGUGUGGUCAAUGACUGGGGUGAAGUCGUAACAAGGUAGCCGUACGGGAACGUGCGGCUGGAUCACCUCCUUUCAA
Molecule: ribosomal RNA, 155 nt
Filed under: Gammaproteobacteria bacterium
Lineage: Bacteria; Pseudomonadati; Pseudomonadota; Gammaproteobacteria
Description: partial 16S ribosomal RNA
Rfam family: Bacterial small subunit ribosomal RNA
Source: RNAcentral